RNAcentral lists this ribosomal RNA (468 nucleotides) under uncultured bacterium. RNAcentral describes it as "partial 16S ribosomal RNA". It matches the Rfam family "Bacterial small subunit ribosomal RNA", at positions 28 to 507 of the family's 1533-position model. The record is from RNAcentral.
GACGAACGCUGGCGGCGUGCCUAACACAUGCAAGUCGAACGGAAAGGCCCUGCUCUUGUUGGGUGCUCGAGUGGCGAACGGGUGAGUAAAACGUGAGUAACCUGCCCCUGACUUUGUGAUAACUUCAGGAAACUGGGGCUAAUAUCGGAUAUGAUCUCCUGCUGCACGGUGGGGGUUGGAAAGUUGCGGCUGUUGGGGAUUGACUCGCGGCUUAUCAGCUUGGUGGUGGGGUAGUGGCUUACCAAGGCUUUGACGGGUAGCCGGCCUGGGAGGGUGACCGGCCACCUGGGGACUGAGAUACGGCCCAGACGCGUACGGGAGGCAGCAGUGGGGAAUAUUGCACAAUGGGCGGAAGCCUGAUGCAGCAACGACGCGUGCGGGAUGCCGGCCUUCGGGUUGUAAACCGCUUUCGCAUGUGACGAAGAGUGAGUGACGGUAAUGGGUAAAGAAGCACCGGCUAACUACGUG